RNAcentral lists this ribosomal RNA (637 nucleotides) under uncultured Lachnospiraceae bacterium. RNAcentral's name for it is "bacterial SSU rRNA". It matches the Rfam family "Bacterial small subunit ribosomal RNA", at positions 63 to 707 of the family's 1533-position model. The record is from RNAcentral. Lineage: Bacteria; Bacillati; Bacillota; Clostridia; Lachnospirales; Lachnospiraceae.
GAAGCGCCUUUUGAGAUUCUUCGGAUGAUCGAUUGGUGACUGAGUGGCGGACGGGUGAGUAACGCGUGGGUAACCUGCCCUGUACAGGGGGAUAACAGCUGGAAACGGCUGCUAAUACCGCAUAAGCGCACGAGGAGACAUCUCCUUGUGUGAAAAACUCCGGUGGUACAGGAUGGGCCCGCGUCUGAUUAGCUGGUUGGCAGGGUAACGGCCUACCAAGGCAACGAUCAGUAGCCGGUCUGAGAGGAUGAACGGCCACAUUGGAACUGAGACACGGUCCAAACUCCUACGGGAGGCAGCAGUGGGGAAUAUUGCACAAUGGGGGAAACCCUGAUGCAGCGACGCCGCGUGAGCGAAGAAGUAUUUCGGUAUGUAAAGCUCUAUCAGCAGGGAAGAUAAUGACGGUACCUGACUAAGAAGCCCCGGCUAACUACGUGCCAGCAGCCGCGGUAAUACGUAGGGGGCAAGCGUUAUCCGGAUUUACUGGGUGUAAAGGGAGCGUAGACGGCAAGGCAAGUCUGAUGUGAAAACCCAGGGCUUAACCCUGGGACUGCAUUGGAAACUGUCUGGCUCGAGUGCCGGAGAGGUAAGCGGAAUUCCUAGUGUAGCGGUGAAAUGCGUAGAUAUUAGGAAGAAC